RNAcentral lists this ribosomal RNA (253 nucleotides) under uncultured bacterium. Its description in RNAcentral is "partial 16S ribosomal RNA". It matches the Rfam family "Bacterial small subunit ribosomal RNA", at positions 524 to 776 of the family's 1533-position model. The record is from RNAcentral.
GACGUAGGGCGCGAGCGUUGUCCGGAUUUAUUGGGCGUAAAGAGCUCGUAGGCGGCUUGUCGCGUCGUUCGUGAAAACCCACGGCUCAACUGUGGGCUUGCGGGCGAUACGGGCAGGCUAGAGUUCGGUAGGGGAGACUGGAAUUCCUGGUGUAGCGGUGAAAUGCGCAGAUAUCAGGAGGAACACCAAUGGCGAAGGCAGCUCGCUGGGACGGUACUGACGCUGAGGCGCGAAAGCGUGGGGAGCAAACAGG